UGACGUGGAUGCUAGUCUCAUAGGUUAAGCCAUGCAUGUGGAAGCGAAGCCUUUUAUGGUGGAGCGGCGUACGGCUCAGUAACGGGCGAUCGAUUUGAUCUGCCUAUACGGACAUCCUCUGUAAACGGAGGGUAAAACGUAAGGGGGGCUUCCUUACGGAAGUUCGCCAAACCUGUAAAGGUGAGGCAGAGUAAGAAGCCAUCCCAUCAGUUAUUAAGUAGGGUAAGGGCCUACUUAGACGAAGACGGGUACGGGGAAUUAUCGUUUGAUUCCGGAGAGGGAGCCUGAGAGACGGCUACCGGGUCCAAGGACAACAGCAGGCGCGAAAAUUACCGCAGCCUGCGAUCAGGGCGGUAGUAAGGAGACGUGAUGACGAAGUGCUGAUAAAAGCUGCACUAGUGACAGGAGGAAAAGACUGGUGCCAGCACCCGCGGUAAUACCAGCUCCUGGAGUGUCUAUGAUGAUUGCUGCAGUUAAAGAGUUCGUAGCCGAGGCAUUAUUAACUGCGUUAAAGGGGAUAUCUCAAAUAUCCCUGUGCGCAGUGAUUUUGCAGAAUAAGGAGUGCUUAGGGGCCAGAGUAUCAUACGGCGACUGGUGAAAUGGGAUGACCCGUGUGGGAGUAACAGAGGCGAAAGUGCUGGCCAGGGGCGAGUCCGAUGGUAAAGGACGUAGGCUAGAGGAUCGAAGACGAUUAGAGACCGUUGUAGUUCUAGCAGUAAACGAUGCCGAUGUUGUGGUGCCGAAUAAUGGCGACGCGAAAGAGAAAUCGAGUAGGGCCCUGGGGAGAGUACACGCGCAAGCGAGAAAUUUAAAGGAAAUUGACGGAAGAACACCACAAGGAGUGGAGUGUGCGGCUUAAUUUGACUCAACGCGGGACAACUUACCGGGCCCGACGACCGUAAGAGUGUAACACACGAUAGGUCGAAGAGUGGUGCAUGGCCGUUA
RNAcentral lists this ribosomal RNA (945 nucleotides) under Loma embiotocia. RNAcentral's name for it is "SSU rRNA". It matches the Rfam family "Microsporidia small subunit ribosomal RNA", at positions 19 to 914 of the family's 1311-position model. Lineage: Eukaryota; Fungi; Microsporidia; Glugeidae. The record is from RNAcentral.